CCCGGGGCCGCCCGGCCCCGGGGCAAGCUGACGUCGGUACCUGAUACGGCCGGCGCAG
Molecule: non-coding RNA, 58 nt
Filed under: Actinomadura flavalba DSM 45200
Lineage: Bacteria; Bacillati; Actinomycetota; Actinomycetes; Streptosporangiales; Thermomonosporaceae
Description: L17-Actino-Proteobacteria ribosomal protein leader
Rfam family: L17-Actino-Proteobacteria ribosomal protein leader
Source: RNAcentral